UAAUCACUUUAUUUUCAGAAAGAAUCACAAGGACAAUUUAUGCAAAUUCGAUUGACUUUUGCUACCAUUACUUCCUUCUGGUGAUUUCCAAGCAAAAAUGUAUGGAUGGUGAUGUGGUAGACAAUUGUUCUCUUAAGGAGUGAAGAUCAAUCUUCUAGGAAGCAAUAGGUGACAGAGUAGAUGAAGAGGAAGCAGACAUCAUCUCGUUGGAAAAAGAACAACAUGGUUCCCUGUCGUUUUUGUGAGAAUGUCAAAAGGAAGAAAUUACUGUCACUCGGCAGG
Non-coding RNA from Coffea arabica (coffee), 282 nucleotides. Lineage: Eukaryota; Viridiplantae; Streptophyta; Magnoliopsida; Gentianales; Rubiaceae. The record is from RefSeq and is a predicted model, not a curated record.